RNAcentral lists this unclassified non-coding RNA (199 nucleotides) under plant metagenome. RNAcentral's name for it is "partial contains small subunit ribosomal RNA and internal transcribed spacer 1". The stretch from base 1 to 46 matches the Rfam family "Eukaryotic small subunit ribosomal RNA", at positions 1786 to 1831 of the family's 1831-position model. The record is from RNAcentral.
CAGCCGUAACAAGGUUUCCGUAGGUGAACCUGCGGAAGGAUCAUUAAAGAGUUAGGGUCCCCAGGGCCCGACCUCCCACCCUUUGCUGUCAAAAACCUGGUUGCCUCGGCGCACCGUGGGGUCCGCCUCACGGGCGCCAGAGGAUCAAUCCAACUCUUUUAUAACCGUACGUCCGAGUAAAGAUUUAAUCAAAUAAAAA